CAUGCAUUGGUGGGGUCCCUCGGCCUGGUUUGCACCCUCUCGCAAUCCGAGACCCCUCGGGGGAUGUCGGAGAGCCAGUUUCGGCCUGAUCCCGCAGGCCAGGCCGAGGGACCCCACUGGUGCACC
This 126-nucleotide microRNA precursor is filed under the name Myotis davidii. RNAcentral describes it as "mir-9193 microRNA precursor family". It matches the Rfam family "mir-9193 microRNA precursor family". Lineage: Eukaryota; Metazoa; Chordata; Mammalia; Chiroptera; Vespertilionidae. The record is from Rfam by way of RNAcentral.